This 715-nucleotide ribosomal RNA is filed under the name Pratylenchus sp. 1 WB-2017. Its description in RNAcentral is "partial 28S ribosomal RNA". Lineage: Eukaryota; Metazoa; Nematoda; Chromadorea; Rhabditida; Pratylenchidae. The record is from RNAcentral.
GAAAUCUUUGACUUUCGCCCUAUACCCAAGGAGACGAUCGAUUUGCACGUCAGAAUCGCUUCGGACUUCCAUCAGAGUUUCCUCUGACUUCAUCCUGCUCAGGAAUAGUUCACCAUCUUUCGGGUCUCACCGCGUACGCUCUUCCUCCACCCCGCCGCAAGCGGCCAGAAUGGGGCCAUGUUGCUCCUGACCACCGUGAUUGCCAGGAUCACACGUCGCACCCUUGCGAAUGCUUUACUUUCAUUGCGCCUUUGAGUUUUCAACACCCAAUGACUUGCGCACACGAUAAACUCCUUGGUCCGUGUUUCAAGACGGGUCAGAUAGAUGACCAACUUUUACGCCGAGAGUGGGAUUGUGAGUCCGCACAGGACCGAAUCAGCAAAAGGGACAUGUCGCAUGCGACUGCCACCCCCGACCAACUCGGUGCCCAUACGAACUCGUGAGCCUUUCCCAUCUUACAUCCAAACCGAACAACAUUCCUCCAAUCCGGGUACCAGCAAAGCUGGCCUCAAAAUUGAACUCAUGCGGCCGACUCGAAAUUCUCGGUGCCCUCAACCUGUAAAUGCACCUACAUUGCCGCCAGCAAUGUAAAACCCUGUCCCAGUUUGGUGACCCUGCGCCCAACUGCCAAGGCAACGAGGCUGAAUACAGGCAAGAAACGGGGGUCUAUCCUUUUCACUACAUCGGGUACCGUCCUCUUAAAUUUCUAUUCAAA